AUUUAAAUAAUUUAAUUAAAAUAUUGAUUUGUGGAAUCAAAUAUAUAUAUAUACUCUAUAUUUUAAAUU
RNAcentral lists this transfer RNA (69 nucleotides) under Prosaspicera validispina. RNAcentral describes it as "tRNA-His". The record is from RNAcentral. Lineage: Eukaryota; Metazoa; Arthropoda; Insecta; Hymenoptera; Figitidae.